CAUCAUCCAAUUCUGCACUUCAGGGGGAGAUACGACGUGAAGAACAGAAUUGGAGCAACUUGGCAAACAAACUAAUUCUCCCAUGUACAGAAAUGAUUGAUCAUCCCGAGUCUGGAGCACGAGAUUACUCUCUGUUGAAAAGUGACCAAUCGCCCAUUCAUAGCGAUCAAUUGCCUGACCCACCUGAUCCAUGCGAAGAUAUUUCUGAUCCGAGUCCCACACCUACAGACAAUACAGAAC
RNAcentral lists this long non-coding RNA (240 nucleotides) under Prunus persica (peach). Its description in RNAcentral is "long non-coding RNA (PPER_LNC008359)". The record is from RNAcentral. Lineage: Eukaryota; Viridiplantae; Streptophyta; Magnoliopsida; Rosales; Rosaceae.